UGGGGAAUAUUGCACAAUGGGGGAAACCCUGAUGCAGCGACGCCGCGUGAACGAAGAAGGUAUUCGUAUCGUAAAGUUCUGUCCUAUGGGAAGAUAAUGACAGUACCAUAGAAGAAAGCUCCGGCUAAAUACGUGCCAGCAGCCGCGGUAAUACGUAUGUAGCGAGCGUUGUCCGGAAUUAUUGGGCGUAAAGGGUACGCAGGCGGUUUAAUAAGUCGAAUGUUAAAGAUCGGGGCUCAACCCCGCAAAGCAUUGGAAACUGAUAAACUUGAGUAGUGGAGAGGAAAGUGGAGUUCCUAGUGUAGUGGUGAAAUACGUAGAUAUUAGGAGGAAUACCAGUAGCGAAGGCGACUUUCUGGACACAAACUGACGCUGAGGUACGAAAGCGUGGGGAGCAAACAGG
Molecule: ribosomal RNA, 403 nt
Filed under: bacterium
Lineage: Bacteria
Description: partial 16S ribosomal RNA
Rfam family: Bacterial small subunit ribosomal RNA
Source: RNAcentral